AGAGUUUGAUCAUGGCUCAGAACGUACGCUGGCGGCACGCCUAACACAUGCAAGUCGAACGAAGUAGUAAUACUUAGUGGCAGACGGGUGAGUAACAUGUGGGUAUCUGCCCUUUGGCCUGGAAUAACACGAGGAAACUUGUGCUAAUACCGGAUAAGUCUUUACGGAGAAAGCUUUAUGCACCAUUGGAUGAGCCCGCACUUGAUUAGUUUGUUGGUGGGGUAAUAGCCUACCAAGACUAUGAUCAAUAGCUGAUUUGAGAGGAUGAUCAGCCACAUUGGGACUGAGACACGGCCCAAACUCCUACGGGAGGCAGCAGUGGGGAAUCUUGCACAAUGGAGGAAACUCUGAUGCAGCGAUGCCGCGUGAGUGAAGAAGGCCUUUGGGUUGUAAAGCUCUUUCGUCGGGGAAGAAAAUGACUGUACCCGAAUAAGAAGGUCCGGCUAACUUCGUGCCAGCAGCCGCGGUAAUACGAAGGGACCUAGCGUAGUUCGGAAUUACUGGGCUUAAAGAGUUCGUAGGUGGUUGAAAAAGUUGGUGGUGAAAUCCCAGAGCUUAACUCUGGAACUGCCAUCAAAACUUUUCAGCUAGAGUUUGAUAGAGGAAAGCAGAAUUUCUAGUGUAGAGGUGAAAUUCGUAGAUAUUAGAAAGAAUACCAAUUGCGAAGGCAGCUUUCUGGAUCAUUACUGACACUGAGGAACGAAAGCAUGGGUAGCGAAGAGGAUUAGAUACCCUCGUAGUCCAUGCCGUAAACGAUGUGUGUUAGACGUUGGAAAUU
Molecule: ribosomal RNA, 778 nt
Filed under: marine metagenome
Description: bacterial SSU rRNA
Rfam family: Bacterial small subunit ribosomal RNA
Source: RNAcentral